CCUACGGGUGGCAGCAGUGGGGAAUAUUGCGCAAUGGGCGAAAGCCUGACGCAGCGACGCCGCGUGAGGGAUGAAGGUCUUCGGAUCGUAAACCUCUGUCAGCAGGGAAGAACGCUCACUGUGUUAAUCAGCAGUGAAUUGACGGUACCUGCAAAGGAAGCACCGGCUAAAUCCGUGGCAGCAGCCGCGGUAAUGCGGUGGGUGCGUGCGUUAAUUGGAAUUACUGGGAGUAAAGCGCUCGUAGGUGGUAUUACAAGUCAGAGGUGAAAUCCCCGGGCUCAACGGGGGAACUGCCUGUGAAACUGGCAAACUGGAGUGUGUGAGAGGAAAGUGGAAUGCCAGGUGUAGGAGUGAAAUCCGUAGAGAUCUGGAGGAACAUCAGUGGCGAAGGCGACUAUCUGGCACAUAACUGACGCUGAGGAGCGAAAGCGUGGGUAGCAAACAGGAUUAGAUACCCUUGUAGUC
This 465-nucleotide ribosomal RNA is filed under the name uncultured bacterium. RNAcentral describes it as "partial 16S ribosomal RNA". It matches the Rfam family "Bacterial small subunit ribosomal RNA", at positions 338 to 795 of the family's 1533-position model. The record is from RNAcentral.